GCUUUGAGUAGACCCUAAACAUCAUUUUAUACCUUCGAGAACCAAUUACUUAAUGUCUCUCCCGUCUUUUCCUUUCCCGACCCCCUCCCAGACGCCUUCAUUCCGGUACUGCGUGGACGGAAAGCCCCGGGUAGCCGACACUACGUCCCCGGCUACCGAGAGAGAAGGAGAGAGAGCGUAGAAAAGGAUUAUACCAAACGGUUUAAAUCCAACGGCUCCUGCUUGCUUAAUCUUUGAGCUAGACCCAGCAAGCCUAGAGAGUUGGGCUACGGAAAGACUAGUAUUUUCUUUUAAUUGGAUAUGAAGAAAGAACAAAUAUGUACGGGGGCAACCACGAUCUUUAUAAAGGAGCCUUGUCUCUCUUGUUCACUGGUGUAUCCGCUGCAUAUAGAACAGUGCCUGGCACAUAAUAGGUGCUGAUAUGAAAUCCAGAUUUGAAAUGAUCUUCAAAUGAUGAUGCCAAGACUCAGAAAGAUGCUUUCUUUUCAGGGAAGAAUCUCUAAAUGAAAAAUCAUGUGAUUCUCAGGCUCUAGGUGUACUGGCAAAAUUCUAACUUAGCCCACCCUUAAUCCAAGCAUAACUCUGACUUAAUUCAGCCUCCCUCCUUUUCCAAUUAAAUAACUUCCCCAAUUCUAGUACACCCUCUCAUUUACAAAGUCACUAGUCCACAAAGUGCUUGAAAAUGGAGGAAAAAACCCAGUGGUCACAAGUGAGAAAUCACAUUUAAAAAAUAAAAUUAUAUAUAAGAUAACAUCUUUUAAAUUUUUAACCUGAAACUGACCAGUUUUCUAAGAUGAAAAAUUGGUGCUUUAAUCUGUUUUGAAAAAUAAAAAGCAUAGAGAAAUAAAGUAGCUUGCUUUCUACCAACAAAAUCCUGAUCUUUAAAUGAAGAUCCUCUGGAUCCCAGAGAGAUGAUUUCCUGGCAAUAACCUCAAGAUGAAAUUUGCUGGUUGCCCAGGUUAGAUUACUGAACAAUAGUAUAAUUUAACCAACUCUUACUUAAUCUGAGUACAUGUCUCCCUCACUAGCUGGCCAGUCUGUUAUUACUAAGACAAUUAAAAACAAACAUAUUGAAAAAUGGUUAAAACUAAUUAACUAAAAUAUAGAAAAUAAAAGGAUAGAAAAAGACAUACCAGGCAAAUUCUAAACAACAACAAAGAACUUUAUGUAGCAAUAUUAAUUAUCAAAUGUGUUCUUUAAAUAGUGUAGCAUUAACAAGGACAUUAAUAUAGGCAAUAUAUUGCAUCACAAAAAUCCAGUAGGAAAUUAUUACAAUCAUGAACACUUAUGCAACUGAUUACAUCUUGAUCAUGGGAAUUAGUUUGCUUAGAUUCUAUUCUGGACUUUUGCAUCUAUGUUCAUAAGUAAGACUGACCUAUUAUAUUCCUUCUCAUGAUGUCUUUUUUGGAGACUUGUAUAUACAAUUUAUAUCAUAAAAUAUGUUGGGAGAUAUUCUUUCUUUUUCUGUUCUCCAGGAAAAUUUGUCUAAGAUUAGAUUUACUUCUUCCUUGAAUGUUUGAUAAAAAUGUGUUGGUGUAGCCAUUUGGGGUUUAGAGUUUUCUUUGUGAAAAGAGUUUUGAUUUCUGCUUCGGUUUCCUUGAUGGUUAUAGACAUACUCAUUAUUCUGUUUCUUCUUGUGUCAGUUUUGCUGUUUAUAUUUUUCUAAGAGUUUAUUUCAUCUUAACUUUAAAAUGCAUUGGCUUAAAGUUGUUUAUACUAUCUUCAUUUUCUUUUUUAUGUCUGCUGCAUCUAUAGCGGUGACCUCUUUGUCUUUCCUAAUGUUGGUUAUUUGUGCCUUCUAUUUUUGGUCUUUAGACUUCU
RNAcentral lists this long non-coding RNA (1821 nucleotides) under Sus scrofa (pig). Its description in RNAcentral is "lncRNA (ENSSSCG00030068294.1)". Lineage: Eukaryota; Metazoa; Chordata; Mammalia; Artiodactyla; Suidae. The record is from RNAcentral.